ACAAUCAACUUAGAAUUUGGCAACGGCGCCAAUUUGAUGUUGAGAGUUUUCAAGGCUCCCAAUCAAAUGUUAUAGUAUAAAGGAUGUCAAACCAGUUCUAAGUGAUUCUAAAGCAAAGAGAAUGCAAGACCAUGCUUAAUCUAAGUGCUAUCAAUUGGUGAGAUGAUUUUGAACUAGAACACUAUUAAAAUGCAAUAAAGAACAAAGCUUUCCUUUCUUAUGGAAUGGAAGAACUCAUGGGCUAAGGGAAUUGACAUUGGGUGAUCAAGUUUCAAUCUAAAGGUGGUAUCUUUCAAUCAAUCUAUUAACCUUAGACCUAGACACAAUCUUAAACAAACUCUAUCUCUAGAUGAAUGCUCAUUCAAUAAGAUAACUCAAGCAUCAAAUCUCUUUGGUUGAAUAUUAUCUAAGCAAUCAUUAAUUUCAAGCCUAUUAGC
Molecule: long non-coding RNA, 437 nt
Filed under: Brassica napus (rape)
Lineage: Eukaryota; Viridiplantae; Streptophyta; Magnoliopsida; Brassicales; Brassicaceae
Description: long non-coding RNA (BNAP_LNC018168)
Source: RNAcentral